RNAcentral lists this ribosomal RNA (354 nucleotides) under Halisarca dujardinii. Its description in RNAcentral is "partial 28S ribosomal RNA". It matches the Rfam family "Eukaryotic large subunit ribosomal RNA", at positions 23 to 424 of the family's 3401-position model. The record is from RNAcentral. Lineage: Eukaryota; Metazoa; Porifera; Demospongiae; Chondrillida; Halisarcidae.
ACCCGCUGAAUUUAAGCAUAUCAAUAAGCGGAGGAGAAGAAACUAACCAGGAUUCCCCCAGUAGCGGCGAGUGAAGCGGGAAGAGCCCAAGCCUCUAAUCUCCGUCCGGCGGCGAAUUGUAGUCUGGAGACGGGUCAUCGUCCUCCCGAAGUCGUCGUGGAAAGGCGCGCCGGAGAGGGUGAGAGCCCCUAGAGUCGGGUUGUUUGGGAAUGCAGCCCAAAGCGGGUGGUAAACUCCAUCCAAGGCUAAGUACGGGCACGAGACCGAUAGCGAACAAGUACCGUGAGGGAAAGAUGAAAAGCACUUUGAAAAGAGAGUCAAAUAGUGCGUGAAACCGUUAGGAGGGAAACGAAU